RNAcentral lists this ribosomal RNA (247 nucleotides) under uncultured bacterium. RNAcentral describes it as "partial small subunit ribosomal RNA". It matches the Rfam family "Bacterial small subunit ribosomal RNA", at positions 26 to 285 of the family's 1533-position model. The record is from RNAcentral.
AGAAUCAACGCUGGCGGCGUGCCUAACACAUGCAAGUCGAACGAGAAAGUGGGAGCAAUCCCACGAGUAAAGUGGCGCACGGGUGAGUAACACGUGACUAACCUACCCUUGAGUGGGGGAUAACCUAGGGAAACCUGGGCUAAUACCGCAUAAUACCUACGGGUCAAAGGAGCAAUUCGCUUUAGGAGGGGGUCGCGACAGAUUAGUUAGUUGGCGGGGUAAUGGCCCACCAAGACAGUGAUCUGUA